This 1690-nucleotide ribosomal RNA is filed under the name Hemibarbus longirostris (long-nosed barbel). RNAcentral's name for it is "16S ribosomal RNA". It matches the Rfam family "Bacterial large subunit ribosomal RNA". Lineage: Eukaryota; Metazoa; Chordata; Actinopteri; Cypriniformes; Gobionidae. The record is from RNAcentral.
GCCAAACAGCUAGCUUGACCAUCAAUAUAACCCAACAAUGUUUAUAACAAGACAGAGCCCCACACCAAAAACUAAACCAUUUUUUUACCUAAGUACGGGAGACGGAAAAGGUUCCGCCCAAAGCAAUAGAAAAAGUACCGCAAGGGAAAGCUGAAAGAGAAAUGAAAUAACCCAUAUAAGCCCUAGAAAACAAAGACUAAACCUUGUACCUUUUGCAUCAUGAUUUAGCCAGCACACUCAAGCAAAGAGUCCUUUAGUUUGAUGCCCCGAAACCAGGUGAGCUACCCCGAGACAGCCUAUAUAGUUUAGGGCUAACCCGUCUCUGUGGCAAAAGAGUGGGAAGAGCUCCGGGUAGAAGUGACAGACCUACCGAACCUGGUGAUAGCUGGUUGCCUAAGAAAUGGAUAGAAGUUCAGCCCCGCACACCCCCAAACCAAAAGCCUCUUAUUUAAGAUAUUUAAGGGAAAUGUGCAGGAGUUAGUCGGAGGGGGUACAGCCCCUCUGACAAAGGAUACAACCUUCGCAGGAGGAUAAAGAUCACAAUAUAUAAAACCCACCGUUCUAGUGGGCCUAAAAGCAGCCAUCUAAACAGAAAGCGUUAAAGCUCAGACGGAGUGAAGUUUAUUAUUCCGAUAAAAAAUCUUAUUCCCCUAAUAGUAUUAGGCUAACCCAUGCCCACAUGGAAGAGAUUAUGCUAAAAUGAGUAACAAGAAGACCUGUUCUUCUCCAGGCACAAGUGUAAGCCAGAUCGGACAAGCCACUGGAAACUAACGAACCCAACCAAAGAGGGCACUAUGGAUAGUAUAAAGACCAGGAAAAACCCAUAGCUAAGCAUCGUUAACCCCACACUGGAGUGCCAUAAUUAAAGGAAAGACUAAAAGAAAGGGAAGGAACUCGGCAAACACAAGCCUCGCCUGUUUACCAAAAACAUCGCCUCCUGCAACUAGACCAAGUAUAGGAGGUCCAGCCUGCCCAGUGACUACGGGUUCAACGGCCGCGGUAUUUUGACCGUGCAAAGGUAGCGCAAUCACUUGUCUUUUAAAUAGAGACCUGUAUGAAUGGCCAAACGAGGGCUUAGCUGUCUCCCCCUUCCAGUCAGUGAAAUUGAUCUAUCCGUGCAGAAGCGGGUAUAAUUAUACAAGACGAGAAGACCCUUUGGAGCUUAAGGUACAAGACUCAACCACGUUAAACAACUUACUAAAGAGCAAGAACUUAGUGGGAAUCAGGCUUUACCUUCGGUUGGGGCGACCGCGGAGGAGAAAUAAGCCUCCGAGUGGAAUGGAAUAACCCCCUAGAGCCGAGAGAUACAUCUCUAAGCCACAGAAUAUCUGACCAUAAAUGAUCCGGCUCCACAGCCGAUCAACGAACCAAGUUACCCUAGGGAUAACAGCGCAAUCCUCUCCCAGAGUCCAUAUCGACGAGGGGGUUUACGACCUCGAUGUUGGAUCAGGACAUCCUAAUGGUGCAGCCGCUAUUAAGGGUUCGUUUGUUCAACGAUUAAAGUCCUACGUGAUCUGAGUUCAGACCGGAGCAAUCCAGGUCAGUUUCUAUCUGUAACGCUACUUUUCCUAGUACGAAAGGAUCGGAAAAGAGGGGCCCAUGCUUGAAGCACGCCCCACCCCUAAUUAAUGAAAACAAAUUAACUAAGUAAAGGGAGGGCCAAAACCCCUGCCAGUCAAAAUAAGGACAC